Molecule: ribosomal RNA, 517 nt
Filed under: Klebsiella pneumoniae IS33
Lineage: Bacteria; Pseudomonadati; Pseudomonadota; Gammaproteobacteria; Enterobacterales; Enterobacteriaceae
Description: SSU rRNA
Rfam family: Bacterial small subunit ribosomal RNA
Source: RNAcentral
AAAUCGACCGCCUGGGGAGUACGGCCGCAAGGUUAAAACUCAAAUGAAUUGACGGGGGCCCGCACAAGCGGUGGAGCAUGUGGUUUAAUUCGAUGCAACGCGAAGAACCUUACCUGGUCUUGACAUCCACAGAACUUUCCAGAGAUGGAUUGGUGCCUUCGGGAACUGUGAGACAGGUGCUGCAUGGCUGUCGUCAGCUCGUGUUGUGAAAUGUUGGGUUAAGUCCCGCAACGAGCGCAACCCUUAUCCUUUGUUGCCAGCGGUCCGGCCGGGAACUCAAAGGAGACUGCCAGUGAUAAACUGGAGGAAGGUGGGGAUGACGUCAAGUCAUCAUGGCCCUUACGACCAGGGCUACACACGUGCUACAAUGGCAUAUACAAAGAGAAGCGACCUCGCGAGAGCAAGCGGACCUCAUAAAGUAUGUCGUAGUCCGGAUUGGAGUCUGCAACUCGACUCCAUGAAGUCGGAAUCGCUAGUAAUCGUAGAUCAGAAUGCUACGGUGAAUACGUUCCCGGGC